RNAcentral lists this ribosomal RNA (889 nucleotides) under uncultured bacterium. RNAcentral's name for it is "bacterial SSU rRNA". It matches the Rfam family "Bacterial small subunit ribosomal RNA", at positions 8 to 917 of the family's 1533-position model. The record is from RNAcentral.
AGAGUUUGAUCCUGGCUCAGGACGAACGCUGGCGGCGUGCCUAACACAUGCAAGUCGAGCGAUGAAGCCCUUCGGGGUGGAUUAGCGGCGGACGGGUGAGUAACACGUGGGUAACCUGCCUCAAAGAGGGGGAUAGCCUCCCGAAAGGGAGAUUAAUACCGCAUAACAUUAGUUUUUCGCAUGAAAAACUAAUUAAAGGAGCAAUCCGCUUUGAGAUGGACCCGCGGCGCAUUAGCUAGUUGGUGAGGUAACGGCUCACCAAGGCGACGAUGCGUAGCCGACCUGAGAGGGUGAUCGGCCACAUUGGAACUGAGACACGGUCCAGACUCCUACGGGAGGCAGCAGUGGGGAAUAUUGCACAAUGGGCGAAAGCCUGAUGCAGCAACGCCGCGUGAGUGAUGAAGGCCUUCGGGUUGUAAAGCUCUGUCUUUUGGGACGAUAAUGACGGUACCAAAGGAGGAAGCCACGGCUAACUACGUGCCAGCAGCCGCGGUAAUACGUAGGUGGCGAGCGUUGUCCGGAUUUACUGGGCGUAAAGGAUGCGUAGGCGGAUAUUUAAGUGAGAUGUGAAAUACCCGAGCUUAACUUGGGUGCUGCAUUUCAAACUGGAUAUCUAGAGUGCGGGAGAGGAGAAUGGAAUUCCUAGUGUAGCGGUGAAAUGCGUAGAGAUUAGGAAGAACACCAGUGGCGAAGGCGAUUCUCUGGACCGUAACUGACGCUGAGGCAUGAAAGCGUGGGUAGCAAACAGGAUUAGAUACCCUGGUAGUCCACGCCGUAAACGAUGAGUACUAGGUGUAGGGGGGUCCAGCCUUCUGUGCCGCAGUUAACACAAUAAGUACUCCGCCUGGGAAGUACGAUCGCAAGAUUAAAACUGAAAUGAAUUGACGGA